UCGGGGUCAAUGUCCCAAGAAGAUAUAUGCCUAUCAAUAUACUUAAAGGGACACACGUCCUUUAUCAAGGUCCCACCGUGGUGGACCACCACCUUAAACCUAUCGUCAGACAUCCUAAACCUACCCUGCAAAUGAAAAGGGGGACCACUUUCAUAAAUUAACACCAUGAGACCAAUUUAACACCCAACAGGGGACCAAUUUAACACCCAACA
RNAcentral lists this long non-coding RNA (212 nucleotides) under Vigna radiata. RNAcentral describes it as "long non-coding RNA (VRAD_LNC004449)". The record is from RNAcentral. Lineage: Eukaryota; Viridiplantae; Streptophyta; Magnoliopsida; Fabales; Fabaceae.